RNAcentral lists this long non-coding RNA (1235 nucleotides) under Zalophus californianus (California sea lion). Its description in RNAcentral is "lncRNA (ENSZCAG00015005479.1)". Lineage: Eukaryota; Metazoa; Chordata; Mammalia; Carnivora; Otariidae. The record is from RNAcentral.
CCAAUGAAAUCUCCUCUGCUCUCUGAUUUGGCGGUUCUUCUGAGCAAAUAUGACAGCCUUUUCUCCAGGCUCCUUUCUGCUCCUCCACGUCCAUCCCCAGAGCCUAGCUCUCCAUCUGCAGUUUCUACACCAGAACCUUUACAAUUACCCAGUCCCAUUUCUGCAAGUACAUGAUUACUAUAAAGGUGACAUGACACAUUGGGAAGAACACAAUGUUGCUUCUAGAUUGCCGAAGAUGCUUAAGCUCAAUUUUCCAAGACCCUGCAACAGGAAUUUCCACAUACAAACGGGACUCAUUCUGAUGGACAGUGUUUGGGGUUAGUCUAACAAGCAAAUAGCUUGGCUAUGUUUUUCCCUUUUCCUUUUUUCUUAAAGUUUGGUAUCACAGCUGUGUUAAAAUCUUCCUUUUCUAGCAGGGAUGGUGUUAUCCACAGCCUGAAAACUUUUACUGCUGCAGAGUCUAAAAUAUUUAAAAUACAGUACAGAGCUCUUUUUCAAACAGGGAGUGCAAAGAAGGAGGGGGUAGGGAAUGAAACACCGGGUGCCCUGCAAAAUGUUAAGCAGCUGCAAUGGCGAUAAAUCAGUGUUAAGCAUGCAGAAGAAAAAGGCCACUGGGACACAUGUUUACUUAGAGAAGCAUUUAGUGUAUGUGUAUUCCUCCUACCAGGAGGUAAUGCUGAGAUCCUUUUUGGAGGUAACCUCUAACACAAAGAGGACCUAAACAUUUCAACUGCCUUCUACCUCAGGGUGCAUUUCGACAAACAGCUUAAGCUUCCUCCUUCCACAGCCUAAGCUGGAUGCUGGAGUCUAAGGCGGAGAUGAGAUUCUAGAAUGCAAGCACAAAGUGAAACUUUUAUCAGACUCUUCUCUGUGCAUGAAGCUCCAAAUUAUUUGAAUCCAUGGCCCAUUGUGUGGGAAAGGGUAGUCUAGGAAUACUCAAAAAUUCUUUCACUCUGUAAAGAAACCUAAUUUCUUAGAUGUUAAGUGAACUAAUCACAUACUCAUGGGAAUUCACAUAAUUUCUCAGAUCAUAUACUUCACCCUGUUCUUAAGCUAGAAGGGUCUUUCAAGGGAAGGGUGGAAAUGCCAACACAUUCUAAAAAAAUGAUAUCCUGGAGCCCCCACAACACAGGACAGUUUCCUCAAGAAAUGUGAUUUACCCUCUAUUUAAUGAGAGUGACUGAGAUCACUGUGAUGCAGAAAGCAGUGGUCUGCCAAGCAAGACUCAAACUGAG